Molecule: ribosomal RNA, 709 nt
Filed under: uncultured bacterium
Lineage: Bacteria
Description: bacterial SSU rRNA
Rfam family: Bacterial small subunit ribosomal RNA
Source: RNAcentral
AGUGGCGCACGGGUGCGUAACGCGUAUGCAACCUACCCAUAAUUGGAACAUAACGUUGAGAAAUUAGCGCUAAUAUUCCAUGUGAAUAUGAUGAGGCAUCUUAUUAUAUUUAAAGAUUAAUUGAUUAUGGAUGGGCAUGCGUAUCAUUAGCUAGUUGGAGAGGUAACGGCUCACCAAGGCAACGAUGAUUAGGGGUUCUGUGAGGAUUUCCCCCCACACUGGAACUGAGACACGGUCCAGACUCCUACGGGAGGCAGCAGUAGGGAAUAUUGGGCAAUGGAAGCAAUUCUGACCCAGCCAUGCCGCGUGAAGGAAUACAGCCCUAUGGGUUUUAAACUUCUUUUAUUAUAGAGUAAACGGAGGUACGUGUACCUCCCUGCAAGUAUAUGAUGAAUAAGGAUCGGCUAACUCCGUGCCAGCAGCCGCGGUAAUACGGAGGAUCCAAGCGUUAUCCGGAUUUAUUGGGUUUAAAGGGUGCGCAGGCGGAUCAAUAAGUCAGGGGUGAAAAAUUUCAGCUUAACUGGAAUCGUGCCUUUGAUACUGUUGGACUAGAGUAUAAUUGACGUGACUGGAAUGUGAUGUGUAGCGGUGAAAUGCUUAGAUAUGUCACAGAACGCCAAUCGUGAAGACAGGUCACGAAAUUAUUACUGACGCUCAUGCACGAAAGCGUGGGGAUCAAACAGGAUUAGAUACCCUGGUAGUCCACGCU